This 1056-nucleotide long non-coding RNA is filed under the name Zalophus californianus (California sea lion). Its description in RNAcentral is "lncRNA (ENSZCAG00015017097.1)". Lineage: Eukaryota; Metazoa; Chordata; Mammalia; Carnivora; Otariidae. The record is from RNAcentral.
GGCUCGAGUGCCCCUGUUCAGGUGCUCCCGCCUAACCAGUGUCCCCGUGUCUGGGUCUGCAGUGAUAAUGGAGUCACCCCCAGCCUCCCCAGGCAGUCCCGGCUCUGCCCUUUGAACCAGGACCCCUUGGCUACUGCCAGGAGCCCCUCCUCACGGCCUGUUCCCUUUUAUCUGCCGCUCCUGGACAACCCACCAGAGGGCGUAGCUUCUCUUUCUUGGCGCUGGGGCAGAAACCAGGCGGACCCACCCUGGCCCUUCCGGGUUCAUGUACCCUGCUCCCCAGGACCAGCUCCCUGUGCCCCAGCCCCUGGCACUGGCCCCUCCCUGGCCCAACCCCCAGUCCACUGGCUCAGACCUAGCCGAGCUGGAUGCAGUGGCCAUUGUCCUGCAAACAGCCAUCCGUGUCCCUGGGGGUGGAUCGGCUGGCUCCAGUGUCCAGCGACGCCAGGUCACCUUCCUUCUAGGCAGUCCAAUCCAGGUGCCCACUGUGGGCAGCAGUGUUUCCUCCCAGCUGGCCAGCCUGGGAAUGCAGCCAGAAUGUGCUGGGCAAGUGGCCUGCGGUGGGGGGGGGGUGGGUACGACACUGGAGCAGGUACCCCAGGGGCAGCCAGCGUCCACCCCAGGCAGGUACGGGCACUUGGGGCAAGCUCAGCAGAAAGCCGCCACCUACGGCCAGGCCUGAGUUCCUGGUCGGGGGGGACAUUUGGGGAAGAUUCCAGACUUCCUGAGCACAGGCUGCCCACCCUAGCUAUGGUGUUGGACGGGAAAUUCCUGCCCCCUGCUGCGUGGGGAGCUGCUAAGGGCACAGCUCGGGCCCUCCCUCGGGAGCCUCCAGUGGAAACUAUGUGGGGAGGAGACGUGGUAGGCAGCGCGCCCUUUCCCCAAACCCAGAGCGGCCGCGGCCUCUUGUGGGUGAAAGCCCGCUUGGCAGCGCGGGGUGAGGGGCAGGGAUCGCCUCAGGGAAGACGAACCCCGGCCCCGCCCGGGACACAGUGCGCCCCAGCCUCCGGCGCUGGCGGGGGAAGGCGCGUCCCAUUUCCUGCGGGCCGAGGAUGA